Molecule: ribosomal RNA, 505 nt
Filed under: uncultured bacterium
Lineage: Bacteria
Description: partial 16S ribosomal RNA
Rfam family: Bacterial small subunit ribosomal RNA
Source: RNAcentral
GACGAACGCUGGCGGCGUGCCUAAUACAUGCAAGUAGAACGCACAGUUUAUACCGUAGCUUGCUACACCAUACACUGUGAGUUGCGAACGGGUGAGUAACGCGUAGGUAACCUGCCUGGUAGCGGGGGAUAACUAUUGGAAACGAUAGCUAAUACCGCAUAAUAUUGAUUAUUGCAUGAUAAUUGAUUGAAAGAUGCUAUUGCAUCACUACCAGAUGGACCUGCGUUGUAUUAGCUAGUAGGUGAGGUAACGGCUCACCUAGGCGACGAUACAUAGCCGACCUGAGAGGGUGAUCGGCCUCACUGGGACUGAGACACGGCCCAGACUCCUACGGGAGGCAGCAGUAGGGAAUCUUCGGCAAUGGACGAAAGUCUGACCGAGCAACGCCGCGUGAGUGAAGAAGGUUUUCGGAUCGUAAAGCUCUGUUGUAAGAGAAGAACGGGUGUGAGAGUGGAAAGUUCACACUGUGACGGUAUCUUACCAGAAAGGGACGGCUAACUACGUG